CCUACGGGAGGCAGCAGUAGGGAAUCUUCCACAAUGGGCGAAAGCCUGAUGGAGCAACGCCGCGUGAGUGAUGAAGGCCUUCGGGUUGUAAAACUCUGUCAUUCGGGACGAACCGGAGUCUGAGGAAAUGCAGACUCUCUGACGGUACCGGAGGAGGAAGCCCCGGCUAACUACGUGCCAGCAGCCGCGGUAAUACGUAGGGGGCAAGCGUUGUCCGGAUUCACUGGGCGUAAAGCGCGCGCAGGCGGUGAUGUAAGUCUGAGGUGAAAACCCGAAGCUCAACUUCGGGACUGCCUUGGAUACUGCGUCACUUGAGGAUAGGAGAGGCAAGGGGAAUUCCACGUGUAGCGGUGAAAUGCGUAGAGAUGUGGAGGAACACCUGUGGCGAAGGCGCCUUGCUGGCCUAUUUCUGACGCUGAGGCGCGAAAGCGUGGGGAGCAAACAGGAUUAGAUACCCUGGUAGUCCACGCUGUAAACGAUGAGUGCUAGGUGUAGGUGGGCUCAUACCCAUCUGUGCCGAAGCUAACGCAUUAAGCACUCCGCCUUGGGGAGUUACGGUUCGCAAGACUUGAACUUCAAUUGAAUUGAGG
Molecule: ribosomal RNA, 590 nt
Filed under: uncultured bacterium
Lineage: Bacteria
Description: bacterial SSU rRNA
Rfam family: Bacterial small subunit ribosomal RNA
Source: RNAcentral